GUCUAUCCCCUAGCAAAACUCUCUAGGAUCUCCUAUUUUAACCAGAUGUUACCUGCAUCACCCAACUCACAAUGACAAAUAUUUCCCCAAUAUUUUUUUAAGGUGUAAAAUACAGAGCUGGAAGAAACACUAAGAGGUUAAUGAAAUCAUUUGUAUUCGCUGUCUGGCUGGCACAGUGCAACCCAGCCAGGCGCUAUCCCUGACUUAAUGCUUCAAAUAACCUCCUGCAGUUUUCUGUUAUGAAACAGACCUGAUCUUGGACAAAAAGAGUGAUUUGAUAAAGAAGAUGGCAUGGGAGGCUCUAACUCUCCACAUUUCAUAAUGGGAUGUCAAUAACCUACCAGUGACACCGUUGUUUCCUCAACUCUCUUCCCUUUGUGUUUACAGCAUUUCUCCUGACAGCUGAGAAGGAACAAAUUUCCAAAGGCUCAAUUUUUUUCAGAAGCACCCAGAAGUCUGGCACCUUAGCCUGACCCUUUUCUUGGAACCACAUAGACUGUGCACCUACCUGUGGAUGCUUGCCUGUUCUGCGCAGCCAUAUGUCACUUGGGAGCUUUGCUUUAAGGAAGCUGUCUCUGCACAGUUUGGCCAGGCCCCUGCCCUGCUCACCUACACAUCCAGUUUACCCAGAACAGCGCUGUAGAGUGCCCCUCGUUGCUGUCACGGUGCAGACACUUGCUGUGUUAUGUACAAUUGGCCAUCUUGCCAAAUACAUUAGCGCCUGAGGGUAAGUGAAUCCCCCAAACCUCCCUUUCAGCCAGGUUCUGCUUUGAAACUCAUGCUUUUUAGCACUUGUGAAAAAUACCUGGCUACACCUUUCUCUUGGCUCCCCUCCCUUCUCCAGGGUAGAUCACAAUACUUCAACAGAGCUAAAUAGCUGUAAUUGGGCAUAACAUUCUGUCUAAUGCUGUUUGCUAACGUACUUGGAUGUGACCUCUUCUAGUCAGGAUAAGGCCACAGUGAGAAUGAAGUUUAAUAUUGAAGUAGAAUCGUACAAAUUUAGAGAAGACACCACUCUAGGUCAUUUUGUCCUACGCUUUCAUCCAGGCAGGACUGAAUGUAACUGAUUUCUGUUCUUGAAAGGCUGCUUGACAUUUCUGUCUUCUGCAGCAGUUAGACUCCGGUUUGUACUCGCCUGCUGAUGCAACAGCUUUUGCUCAGUUUGAAAGCAACGGAAAGAAUAGCGAGGGGUCCUUGAUAUGCAUCUAAGCAAUAACUUCCUCUUGCAAGCAAACCUUGCUGGCACAGGUCAGUACAUCAGCGCUCUGAACUGAGUCUUGUAGAUGAGUAGCAUUUAAAAUUCAUACAGCUUUUACUAUGCCCUGGGCCAGCCAAUUUUCAAUUACACCGAUGCCUGCGCCUUCCUUUGAUGUGCAGUGGUUAACCCUUUUGAUGCGCUCUCACCUGUGCCAGUGAUGGUGUGUGCCUGCCAGGAACAGAUCAGUGUACACCAACAUGCUUCCCAAGGCACAGAGCCGGCCCUACACUCAGCUGUUUCCUUUUUGUUGCAGUUACUGUUUUAAAUGUCAUUAGUGAGGGGUGAAAAUACUCUUUUUCUGAAGGGGUUUGGUGGGAUUUGUCACAGUCUAGGGCACGACAAGGUGUUUUUUCUUCUAUUCUUCUGCCAUAUGUGAGUGGUACUUGGGCGUUUCCCCUUCCCCCCUGAGGACCAUCCAGCUGUGGGGAGCUAUCAGCUUCUUGCUGGGCACUGGCAGCAGCUGUUGGGCUGUGGGCAUAUUUAUCUUCAUCGGAUGCCCCUGUCACCCUGCCUGUCCUGUGGCUUGCACUACAUUUUAUUUUUCCUUAUUAAAAAGAGCCGUUCCAUAUUCUUCUAGGAUCUGGUGUUGCCACUGUUGUUUGACAGUGUAAAUAGUUAGAAGGGUCUGCAGAAAAGGCUGUCAGAUGGGUUAAGCUAAUGAUCCCUUAGUUAUGAUCCCUAGCAAUCUUGACUUUAUUUGGCAGGAAAAGUAAUUUAAGGAGUGAACUGCUUAUUAAAAUGACCUCUACUGCAUGUGUCUGUGCUCAGUAAUUGAUACAGAUUAGCCAGGAGUUAGUGUAGCUUUUGAUAAUGGAUUAAUCUUGGAAAGCUGAAGGGUUUUUUUUUUUUUUUUUUCCUUGGGAGCAGUGCAGAACAAGAGUCUAUGGUUGUUGCAGGCUUCUGUGUCUGUCCUGUGCAACAUCCCCUUACUCCAGCUCCUUAAAGGGAUCAGUGCAUUCAAAAUCUCUGAAAGAGAUAUUGCACUGUGCAAUGGUACAUUUCAGCAGAAAAUGCCUUCAGAGCAGGGACAUGAAAACAACAGUUAUAGGUACAAAACAGCUGUGAGAUUUAGAACUAAUGGGUGGUUAAUUGCAUUUUAUUCUAUAUUGCACAUGGAAGAAUGCCAGGGCAAGCAUGCACACAUUGUCCAAGGAGCUCGCAGCAGCAGUUGUGUAAAUUAAGGGAAGAGCCUUAAGUUAUUUCACUAAUUCAGUUUCGGAGUGUUGAUAUUCUUGGGAAUGCAUGCAUGUACCAGCAGAGGGCAUGCAGACUUCAUUCAACAGGGACAUGUGCUAAUUAAUAAAUCUCAGAUGUAGGUAGGUGUCUACCUGCA
Anser brachyrhynchus (Pink-footed goose) is the source of this 2591-nucleotide long non-coding RNA. NCBI's taxonomy places the organism in Eukaryota, Metazoa, Chordata, Aves, Anseriformes, Anatidae. The record is from Ensembl.